Molecule: ribosomal RNA, 239 nt
Filed under: uncultured bacterium
Lineage: Bacteria
Description: partial 16S ribosomal RNA
Rfam family: Bacterial small subunit ribosomal RNA
Source: RNAcentral
GAUCCUGGCUCAGGAUGAACGCUGGCGGCGUGCUUAACACAUGCAAGUCGAACGAAGCACUUAAGAUUGAUUCUUCGGAUGAUUUCUUUUGUGACUUAGUGGCGGACGGGUGAGUAACGCGUGGGUAACCUGCCUUACACAGGGGGAUAACAGUUAGAAAUGACUGCUAAUACCGCAUAACCCGAUAGGAUCGCAUGAUCCAGACGGAAAAGAUUUAUCGGUGUGAGAUGGACCCGCGU